Non-coding RNA from Schistosoma curassoni, 46 nucleotides. Lineage: Eukaryota; Metazoa; Platyhelminthes; Trematoda; Strigeidida; Schistosomatidae. The record is from Rfam.
GCACUGUUGACGAGUCCCAUACUAGGACGAAACGGCCGUCCAGUGC